GUGUGUGUGUGUGUGUAGGUUUAACAGGGACUGGCGGUACCAUAAGGAGGAGCGGGUUUGGAUCACUCGGGCUCCGGGGAUGGAGCCCACGCUGAAGACCAACGCCUACGAGAGAGGGACCUACUACUUCUUCGACUGCCUCAACUGGAGGAAGGUGGCGAAGGAGUUUCACCUGGAGUACGAAAAACUAGAAGAGCGGCCUCACGUUCCCUCCACGUUCAACUACAAUCCCGCCCAGCAGGCCUUCUGAUUGGCUCUACCUCCUCCUCCUGCCUGCUUGCCUGCCUGCCAUUGGUCCUCCUGGAUGUCAAUCAUCACCUUCUAGCCCCGGCCCCUUUUAGGUUUCUCCACCUGCACACACUUACAGUGAAUCUGGCCAGGAGACGACUUCCUGCUCUCUCUAAACACUGAUAGACUUUAUGAUUUUAACUUUUGUUUGUUCCUUACCUCAUUCUCUGUUUACUUUUUAUUUUAUUUCCCAACCCCCCCUCCAUGUGGACUUAACGCCAGCACAGUACAACACACACACUGUAAAUAACUGUCCAUCUGAUCCUGUGAUUCCUCUUAAAAAAUUGACUAUUUUUGUCUAGAGAAGCUUUUAAAAAAAAAUUAAUUUUAAACAAUAAAAUCACCUGUCAGCUGGAUAAUUAUUUCACACACUGUGUCACAGCUCUCUGAUCUUUGGCAGGAACAAUAUCUCCAGCAGCAUCACACACACACACACAUCAGCAGACAGCGGAGAGUCAGGAGAGGAAAUGCAAUGUACAUUGUAGCACUAUUUCAUAAUAAAAGAAGAAAAAAUAUCUUUUUUUGGUUUGUUCAUAUCAUGUGAAGAUUUGUGUUAAUUUUUAAAGAUUUAUUUUGUUUAUUUUUUAAUUAAUGAGGUCAAGUUUAGCAGCCAGAAACACAGAGACUCACUGAGCGGGAUGUUUGACAUUUAAAAUGAUUUGCACUUGUUUUUUGAACAUCCUUUAAAAAGUGGGAUGUGUCAUAAUGCCUCUGAUUGGAUUUAACAGAACAAAUGUUUAAAUGUUCGCACAUCCCUUUCACAUGGACGCAGCUCUUUCCCCGUUUUCGCCUUUUAAUUUCAUUUUUAAUUUCAUUAUUAAAGCUCCCUGUUUCUCCUCC
This is a long non-coding RNA of Notothenia coriiceps (black rockcod), 1128 nucleotides long. RefSeq lists it as uncharacterized. The transcript is spliced from 2 exons. The record is from RefSeq and is a predicted model, not a curated record. NCBI's taxonomy places the organism in Eukaryota, Metazoa, Chordata, Actinopteri, Perciformes, Nototheniidae.